This 776-nucleotide ribosomal RNA is filed under the name uncultured Neocallimastigales. RNAcentral describes it as "partial large subunit ribosomal RNA". It matches the Rfam family "Eukaryotic large subunit ribosomal RNA", at positions 23 to 647 of the family's 3401-position model. The record is from RNAcentral. Lineage: Eukaryota; Fungi; Neocallimastigomycota; Neocallimastigomycetes; Neocallimastigales.
AGAGAGAGACAUGCGCGCAUAUCAAUAAGCGGAGGAAAAGAAACUAACAAGGAUUCCCCUAGUAACGGCGAGUGAAGCGGGAAGAGCUCAAAUUUGAAAUCUUAAAGGGUUUCCCUUUACGAAUUGUAGUUUAAAGAAGUGUUUUCUGUUGAGGUUUUGGUAGAAGUUCUUUGGAAUAGGACAUCAUAGAGGGUGAGAAUCCCGUAUUUGACCUUUACUUUCAACUUUGUGAUACACUUUCAAAGAGUCGGAUUGUUUGGGAAUGCAGUCCUAAAAUGGGUGGUAAAUUUCAUCUAAAGCUAAAUAUUGGCGAGAGACCGAUAGCGAACAAGUACCGUGAGGGAAAGAUGAAAAGAACUUUGAAAAGAGAGUUAAACAGUACGUGAAAUUGUCAAAAGGGAAGCGUUUGACACCAGUGUUGUUUUUCUGAAAAUCAAUUAAAGAACUGUUUAUGCUAAGCUGUUUAGACUUUAUCAGCUAAUCUGUUUAGUUUUGAGCUUUUCUUUAAUGCACUUUUCAGUUAACAAGUCAACAUCAAUUUCUUUUGCUGUAAAAAAGCUUGAGGAAGGUGGCUUGAGAUUCGUCUUAAGUGUUUAUAGCCUCUUGCCUAUGCAGUCGGAGAGAUUGAGGUCUGCAGCGUAGAUCCUUCGGGGCUAAAUGCAUUUGUGCUAAGUUAUAGCAUUUUAUAGACAACUUGUUGACUAUGAUUUGUCUUGUAGCUUACUCGCUUAUGUUAUUUUACCUACGCUUAGGAUGUUGACGCAUGAGAUAUACGC